This 785-nucleotide ribosomal RNA is filed under the name Salmonella enterica subsp. enterica serovar Typhi. RNAcentral's name for it is "bacterial SSU rRNA". It matches the Rfam family "Bacterial small subunit ribosomal RNA", at positions 1 to 757 of the family's 1533-position model. Lineage: Bacteria; Pseudomonadati; Pseudomonadota; Gammaproteobacteria; Enterobacterales; Enterobacteriaceae. The record is from RNAcentral.
UUUUAUGAGAGUUUGAUCCUGGCUCAGGACGAACGCUGGCGGCGUGCCUAAUACAUGCAAGUCGUACGCUUCUUUUUCCACCGGAGCUUGCUCCACCGGAAAAAGAAGAGUGGCGAACGGGUGAGUAACACGUGGGUAACCUGCCCAUCAGAAGGGGAUAACACUUGGAAACAGGUGCUAAUACCGUAUAACAAUCGAAACCGCAUGGUUUUGAUUUGAAAGGCGCUUUCGGGUGUCGCUGAUGGAUGGACCCGCGGUGCAUUAGCUAGUUGGUGAGGUAACGGCUCACCAAGGCCACGAUGCAUAGCCGACCUGAGAGGGUGAUCGGCCACAUUGGGACUGAGACACGGCCCAAACUCCUACGGGAGGCAGCAGUAGGGAAUCUUCGGCAAUGGACGAAAGUCUGACCGAGCAACGCCGCGUGAGUGAAGAAGGUUUUCGGAUCGUAAAACUCUGUUGUUAGAGAAGAACAAGGAUGAGAGUAACUGUUCAUCCCUUGACGGUAUCUAACCAGAAAGCCACGGCUAACUACGUGCCAGCAGCCGCGGUAAUACGUAGGUGGCAAGCGUUGUCCGGAUUUAUUGGGCGUAAAGCGAGCGCAGGCGGUUUCUUAAGUCUGAUGUGAAAGCCCCCGGCUCAACCGGGGAGGGUCAUUGGAAACUGGGAGACUUGAGUGCAGAAGAGGAGAGUGGAAUUCCAUGUGUAGCGGUGAAAUGCGUAGAUAUAUGGAGGAACACCAGUGGCGAAGGCGGCUCUCUGGUCUGUAACUGACGCUGAGGCUCGAA